RNAcentral lists this ribosomal RNA (163 nucleotides) under uncultured bacterium. RNAcentral's name for it is "partial 16S rRNA". It matches the Rfam family "Bacterial small subunit ribosomal RNA", at positions 355 to 510 of the family's 1533-position model. The record is from RNAcentral.
UAGGGAAUCUUCCACAAUGGGCGAAAGCCUGACGGAGCAACGCCGCGUGUGUGAUGAAGGGUUUCGGCUCGUAAAACACUGUUGUAAGAGAAGAAUGACAUUGAGAGUAACUGUUCAAUGUGUGACGGUAUCUUACCAGAAAGGAACGGCUAAAUACGUGCCA